This 72-nucleotide transfer RNA is filed under the name Camelus ferus (Wild Bactrian camel). It matches the Rfam family "tRNA". Rfam says of the family: Transfer RNA (tRNA) molecules are approximately 80 nucleotides in length. Their secondary structure includes four short double-helical elements and three loops (D, anti-codon, and T loops). Lineage: Eukaryota; Metazoa; Chordata; Mammalia; Artiodactyla; Camelidae. The record is from Rfam by way of RNAcentral.
AGGGGUAUAGCUCGGUGGUAGAGCACAUGCUUAGCAUGCACUGGGUCCUGGGUUCAAUUUCUAGUACCUCCA